Molecule: non-coding RNA, 257 nt
Organism: Pogona vitticeps (central bearded dragon)
Lineage: Eukaryota; Metazoa; Chordata; Lepidosauria; Squamata; Agamidae
Source: RefSeq, a predicted model, not a curated record
GGAGGGACGGAAGGACGGGGGGAGCGGCCGGCCGUGCUCCAGGCCAAAAGGGAGACGCGCCCUGAAGGAGGCGGUUUCUGCGCAGAGAUCUUCCAGAAGCCCCGCUUUCCCCUUGACGGCACAACUGUUCCCUGCAUGGAGGAGACCACACGCGGACCUGCCUCUCUCUGAGAGGACCAGGGGCCUCUCAAGAAAGGAACAUGGAGGUGUUGCGCCCCCCCCCCUGCCGACACACGCCUGAGCAGGCCAGGAUCCCG